Molecule: long non-coding RNA, 99 nt
Organism: Thalassophryne amazonica
Lineage: Eukaryota; Metazoa; Chordata; Actinopteri; Batrachoidiformes; Batrachoididae
Exons: 3
Source: RefSeq, a predicted model, not a curated record
AUGUGAUGCUUCAAAACGCACCACGAUUUACUAUUCGGGAUGAAACGAGAAGGAACAACGCUCUGUGGAAUAGUGGUAUUAACAGUGUCAAGUUAACAU